Molecule: unclassified non-coding RNA, 347 nt
Filed under: soil metagenome
Description: partial contains 5.8S ribosomal RNA, internal transcribed spacer 2, and large subunit ribosomal RNA
Rfam family: 5.8S ribosomal RNA (bases 1-120)
Source: RNAcentral
GAUGAAGAACGCAGCGAAAUGCGAUAGGUAAUGUGAAUUGCAGAAUUCAGUGAAUCAUCGAGUCUUUGAACGCACAUUGCGCCCCCUGGUAUUCCGGGGGGCAUGCCUGUCCGAGCGUCAUUGCUGCCCUCAAGCACGGCUUGUGUGUUGGGCCCCCGUCCCCCCCUCCCGGGGGACGGGCCCGAAAGGCAGCGGCGGCACCGCGUCCGGUCCUCGAGCGUAUGGGGCUUUGUCACCCGCUCUGUAGGCCCGGCCGGCGCCUGCCGACCACCAUCAAUCUUUUUUCAGGUUGACCUCGGAUCAGGUAGGGAUACCCGCUGAACUUAAGCAUAUCAAUAAGCGGAGGA